GGCCAGAUGAGGGAUGGGAGGGUCAGGCAGCCUGGUCACUGGUCUUCUGUGUAGGUUCUGGCACAGCCAUGUCUGAGAACCAGCAUUCUAAGUGUUCCAUAGACAUGAACUCAUUUAAUCCUCAAACCACCUUCUGAAUCAGGACAGAGCAGGUGUGAAGGAGCGUCCCUUUCACCUUUUCGACCCAUUCUCAUCCUUCCGCCUGGGGGUUGCCAUGUGAGGAUGUGAUGUUUGGAGCUGCUGGCCCACGAGGAGAAGCCUGAGAGAAUCAAUGCCGUGAAAGCAACCCAGGAACAGCCCUCCCUCAGAUCUCUUGCUAAGGGAGGUAUUCAGCUACUUACACCUGCAUCAGUUAGAAGGAGGUUUGACUGGGAUUAACAGGAAGCCGCAAAAUAAUGGUGGCUUAUGCAAGGGCCACUGCUGGGUCUACUGUCCCAGGACACCUCACCACUGCUCCUACCGACUUCGACCCCUUGUCCGGCUCCAGAUCCACACGGGCCUUCGUCCUCUCCUUCCAGCAAGGGCCAGAGACGCCCAAGUCUCUCCCAACAGCUCCUGCGAGGAGUGAGCUCAUCUCUCAGGCAGGUGUCUCCACCUUCUCUGAUUCCC
Prionailurus viverrinus (fishing cat) is the source of this 609-nucleotide long non-coding RNA. RefSeq lists it as uncharacterized. The transcript has 5 exons. The record is from RefSeq and is a predicted model, not a curated record. Lineage: Eukaryota; Metazoa; Chordata; Mammalia; Carnivora; Felidae.